RNAcentral lists this long non-coding RNA (1088 nucleotides) under Scleropages formosus (Asian bonytongue). RNAcentral's name for it is "lncRNA (ENSSFOG00015030479.1)". The record is from RNAcentral. Lineage: Eukaryota; Metazoa; Chordata; Actinopteri; Osteoglossiformes; Osteoglossidae.
CGACUGGAGAAAGGGGACACAAGCGCGGCUCUGUGACGCGCUCCGGUCACGCUCCGCCUGCUCUUCCGCGGAGUUUCCUAGUAAGCGGGAGCGCGCCGCGGUGAGCACAUUCACAGAGAAUUUCAAUACCUAGGAAAUGAGUCAUAAGCGGAGCCGCAUGUUCGCGCGUGGGCGGCUCCCGACAGCUCGCAUAGUACUGCGGCUGACUCACUCACUGACUGGGUACACGGCUGCUGUCGCUGCACUCGAACCCGAGCUCUCGAACGCAAUGGACCCGAAAGUGCUCUUGUACGUAACUUGGGGAGCGAUGCUCGCGGCCGGGACGAGCGCGCAGAACAGUCAGUGUGGCCGAGAUGAGUUUUGGAAUUCGGACAUAGGCCAAUGUGUGCCCUGUUCAACGUGCCAGAAAUAUCCAAAGACCCCAUCAUGCGAGACAUGCUCUUUAGCAGAAAGCAGCUCUGAUGUCUGGAAGCUGGCAGCCAUUACUAGUUUCUCCACCCUGGCAAUCGUACUGUUUGUAGGUGUCCUGCUAGUAGGAAUACUGGUGCAUCGAUCUAGGUCGAGGAGGAAAAGCAAUUUACGUGAAAAAACGUUAGCCAUGGCUAUGGGUGUAGAAAAACAUUCUGGUGGUCCAAGUUCUGGUGAAGAUGGUAAAAGCUGUAAAAAGGCUAUAACGCUAAAUCAGAAGUUGGACGUUAUAAAGUGUUUCACAGGAAGCAAAAUAGCAAACUAACCUGUUGAGGAGACGACCGGACCUCUUUAUCAGAUAUGAACAUUUGCACAGUUUACACCUGAGCAAAUGUCACCUGUACUGAUGUGCCCAGCUGACAGAUUUCUGUAAAAGGCACCAGAACAUGAGAGAAGUUUGGGACGACCGUAAUUCCAUUCACUUCCUCAGUGUUUAUAACGCCUGUCUGCUGUUCUUCAAUGUCUGUGAUGAAUAAGAUGAACAUUGCACACAUAAGAUGAAGCAGUAAACAAAAAGCAUUGAAUAGAAGUUUGUUUUAAUUUCAUUCAUUUUAAAUUAUUUUUAAUUUUAUUGUAGAUCACUUAAUAAAAAUAUUAAGCCUUAAAUAUUUUUUAAAUUU